AGAAUUCAUGCAUUGUAUUUUCUGUAAUCGCAUCAUCUUAUUCAUACAGCAAUUUUAGUUGAUUGUAUGCUUAUUCCCGUAUAAAGAAUGUGGGAAAAAGAAUUUCACAAUUUAAAUCUUUGAGGGUGUUUGUUACAAGUCUUUCAUCCAUCAGCUUGUGAUCUAAGUUCGUCAAUUUCUUUCAGACUUCCCAUUUGCUUCUCAUCUCAACAGCAAGCGCGAAUGUUUGAGUAGAGUUUUCAGAGGCCUUGUCCCCUGAGCGCCAUGCAACGCGUCCUUCGCUCUCUCCAUCACCUUACGAUCAUAAAAUUACCUUAUCUUAUAAGACG
This 329-nucleotide long non-coding RNA is filed under the name Phoenix dactylifera (date palm). RNAcentral's name for it is "long non-coding RNA (PDAC_LNC019570)". Lineage: Eukaryota; Viridiplantae; Streptophyta; Magnoliopsida; Arecales; Arecaceae. The record is from RNAcentral.